This 86-nucleotide microRNA precursor is filed under the name Podarcis lilfordi (Lilford's wall lizard). The record is from RNAcentral. Lineage: Eukaryota; Metazoa; Chordata; Lepidosauria; Squamata; Lacertidae.
UGAGCUCAGUAUGUAUGUAUGUAUGUAUGUAUGUAUGUAUGUAUGUAUGUAUUUAUACAUACAUACAUACAUACAUACCCUGCCUA